RNAcentral lists this long non-coding RNA (2716 nucleotides) under Eutrema salsugineum. RNAcentral describes it as "long non-coding RNA (ESAL_LNC001932)". Lineage: Eukaryota; Viridiplantae; Streptophyta; Magnoliopsida; Brassicales; Brassicaceae. The record is from RNAcentral.
CUUAGCGUAAUCGACGAGGUUACGGUGGUUGAGGUCAUCUCCGACCUGGAGCCAGUUUCCGAACACCGGAAUCGGUAUAGGACCAGGAGGUAGCUUCAAUUUCUUGCCGCGGAGCUUGGAAAUCACGGCGGCGAGAACCACCGCCACGAAGACGGCGAUUAGUGACUUCUCUAACAAGAGAAACUCCAUUAUACUUCACUCUCCGCUCAAUUUAUCUUUGAUUUUCCCGGUGAGAAAUGAAUCAAAUGACUAAUAUUAUCAAUCAUUUUAGUCAUUUUAAUCUCUAAUAAGACUAUAAACUCAAGUUCGCUUUGUCCUUCUAUUUGAAUAUAAUUAAGAUUUGACUAAUAUAAUCAUUUCUUGACUUCUCAUCGAUUUUCUACACAUGAUGUUGAAUAUUAUAAUUUUAAUACAAAUUGUGUAAUGAAAUGGAUUUCAUGAACGUUAGUUUGUCUUUGAUCCCAAUUAAAAAAAAGGAACGUUAGUUUGAGGUAGAAACCUCCAAAUUAGGAACUAUGGUUUAUGGUUCAACAAUCAUAAGUAUUUGAAAUGAAUAUACCAAACAAUAUUCAUUCAAAACAGUGGGAACCACUAGUUAUUUCAAUCAUGGAACGAACCAUUUAACGACAUUUUACACAAGACCUUACAAAAAAAAAGACCAAAACAUGGAAUAUUCAACAGAUUUCACAAACAUCAUUAUAAUGCCAUCCACAUAACAAAAGACAUUUUGCAGAAAUUACGUUUUCACUUUUUUUUGCAGAAAAUGUUAAAAGGCCCUUGGUUUCAUAACGAUUGUUGAGUGGUUAAGGAUGUGCAAGCUGAAUUGUCCACCUUUCUCAGAAGUAUCCACUUUAGACUGUCCAGGAGGAGGAAGAAGCUCGAAGUUCUGUACCAGCCUACCAAUGGUGAUUCCCAAAAUGGGCAACGCCAAUAUAAUCCCGGGACAGCUUCUACGUCCAACACCAAACGGCACAUACCUGAAGUCAUUACCAUUCGCUUCCACAUGCGCCUCUUCUUCGAAAAACCUCUCGGGUCUAAACUCUUCAGGUUUCUUCCAGCUUUCGGGGUUGUUCGCUAGCCACCAGGCAUUGACUAGGAUUUUGCUUUCAGCUGGGAUAUCGUAGCCAGCGAGCUUAGCAUCGUUAAGGUUCAUGUGAGGCACGAGGAGAGGAAUAGCCAUUCUUAGACGAAGCGUCUCCUUGAUCACGGCUUGGAGGUAUGGAAGCUUGUGAAGCUCAGGCUCUGUGACUUGAACACCAGGUCCAAGAACCGUAUCGAUUUCGUUCCUUAGCUUGCUCUGAAUCUCAGGAUGGUUCACUAGUUCAGCAAUUCCCCACUCGAUUGACCACAAUGUUGUCUCAAUAGCUGUUUCAGCAAACAUUUGACAGAAGUAAUCAGCAUCACAAAACUCUAUAAAUGUUCAUUAAAAAUUCAGCCUUUUUUCAAGGGAGACAAAAGACACUGCAAUUUCUGACCAUAAAAGUGUCUUUUGCUGUUUUAGUUAACAUUCCAAAUUGAUGGGAUUCACUCAAAAGACUAGUAGCCAACAAAGACACGUCUAGAGGAUUGCUUACGUAUCCUACAAGGAAGAAAUAAGUACCUGCAACGUUGAUGUUCUCGACGAUGUAAAGAACGUUGUCCUCGUUGAUUUCUCCUUUCUGUUGAGCUUCAAGGAUAUGAUCAAUGGCGCAUUUCAAUCCUUCGCUGCCUGUAGGCUUAGCACUCGCAAUUUGCCUGUAUAGAUUUCCCACAGUCAAUCUCAAAGUCCCUAAAAUCGAAAACCAAAAGAUAUGACCAAAAUCGAAGAAGACGAACUCACUUCCUCUCGUCAACAAAGUACUUUUUGAAGAGCGCUAGUCUCCGAUCUUUCACAUCUUGACAGAUCUUCAAGUAGCCUCUAAGGAACGGCCUAAGGAUAGGAAUGAAAUCGCCAUAGUUAUACUCAAAGCUCUGAGCCAAUCGGCUUCUCUCUCCGUUCAAGGCCUUAAGCCUGAGGAAAAGAGGAUCAUCCUCGCUCUCGAACCUUCUAUCGAACAUGAUACGGAACAUAUUGUUGUACAUCAUCAGCUGCAAACGCUUCCUCAACACAAUCCCUUUCGUCGCCGAAUCUGGAUUCUUCUUCACAUCCUCAACGACGCUCGCCGCCUCGAACUCCCAUCCUUCCCGAUUCUGCUGAACCACCUUGUUGGUGAAGAACGGAACCGUCAUAAUCCGCCGCAUCUUCCUCCAGUGCUCGCCGUACACCGUGAACACCAUAUCCUGUCCUUUUCCGGUGAAUAUGUCGAAGACGACGUUCCUGGUACGAGAUCCAAACUCCACUCCCUGUGUGUGGAGCACUUCCUUGGUGAGAUUCGGCGAAGAGACGACCACUAGGUUACGUUGACCCAUACGGAGAAGGAAGAGGUCUCCGAAUUUCUUAGCGUAAUCGACGAGAUUACGGUGGUUUAGGUCAUCUCCGACCUGGAGCCAGUUUCCGAACACCGGAAUCGGCAUAGGACCAGGAGGUAGCUUCAAUUUUUUGCCUCGGAGCUUAGAAAUCACGGUGGCGAGAAUCACCGCCACGAAGACGGCGAUUAGAGACUUCUCCAACAAGAGAAGGUCCAUUUGCACUUCACUCUCUCGAUUUUCGUAAUUAUCACGGUGAUCGAUAAUUUUUAUUUAUUUUCCCGGUGAGAGAAAUCGUCGGCGAAUGAAAAAGCAGAAGAAGCUGCUGAGG